Molecule: small nucleolar RNA, 131 nt
Organism: Arvicanthis niloticus (Nile rat)
Lineage: Eukaryota; Metazoa; Chordata; Mammalia; Rodentia; Muridae
Product: small nucleolar RNA SNORA72
Source: RefSeq, a predicted model, not a curated record
ACCCGGAUAUUCUCCCUAUUCUGACUCUGUGAUAAUUAGGAAAUACUAAACAGUCGCUAAUGUAAGACCAUGCAUGUGUCUCAGUCCUACUUCUUUAACUAGGCUGGGUUUUUAAAAUGCUGGUGACAGGU